UGAGCGCGCGCCGGGCCGACAUAACGGCGCGACUGCCGACGACGCGCGCACGUACCGCCCACCUGCGCACGCGACGCGAGUGAAACACGCGUGUGAACAUAUACUUACGAUAAAAGUGACUGUGCCAGUGAAUGCUCCUGCUUACCCAACUCUUUGAGGUUCUGAUAGACCAGUGAUUGGAAGGUGGUCACCUGCCAUCAUCUUUAGGUGUUUUUCUUUGGGAUUGAACAGAGCAGAACAAUACACUGUGCUGAGCAUCAGGUUACAGCCUCCACGCACUCCUCUACGUGACCGAACCACGAGUCGUUAAAGAUGUGUGUGUAACAGCGGCGCGGCAUGGGCCAGGCCGGCAGCCACGCGCCGCCGCCGCAGCGCGGGCGCCGCGCGCACACGCUGCCGCACGACCCGCCCCGGCUCGCGCCUAAGGUGCUACCCACUCUAUGCGAGUCGCCGCGCCUGCGCAGCACGGACAACGGUGCGAUCCUGCACUCGGGCGGCACCAUCAGCGGGAGGAGACCCAACACUAUACACGAAAAUGUGCCACACGGACAUGUGCACGCGAACGUUUACCGAUCGCGGUCAGCUGGCACCUCGGGAGACGGCAGCGAGAUACGGUCCAGGGAGCGAGACCCGCUGCACCGGUCGCACACCAACCUCGAGCUACGACAUGAUAGCAGCAGCAUAAACAAACGAUUUGGAUCUGAACCAGAUCUAAGAAUAGAAGAAGAACAGAAAACGAGAAAUGGAAACAAACACUUCCGGAAAAAAUACAGAGCACCCCCUCCUCCCACCAAUGACAACUUCGAAGGUUCGUCGCCUGAUUCCAGCGAAGGAAACACUAGACCUGAACCCCAGAGGAAACUAAGACUGUUCAAAACUAGAAACGAAACCAAAAAACUGAACGGCCAAGACAAUUUACAGUUCAGAAAUUCAUAUCACGAAUACAAGUCACUCGAUAUGACCGAUAAUGCAGCUUUUGAACGAAGAUAUCGGUCGCCAUGUAAAGAUAAGGAACAACACUUCAAGUAUCCUGACAACCAGGACAUGGUGCAAAGCACUGCCUCACUUAAGAGAGAGGAACGACUCAUACAAACGAAACAAGACUACAGGAAGACGAGGAUAGACAGGAUGAGCGGAUGUCGGGCGAAGACGUCCAAGACCGAACAAAGCGAAGCGUGGAAGACGCCAUUACUAAACAGGAAUUUCAGGUACUCCGAGAGGUUCAAGAAAGAUGACAAUGAACUGCCCACGCUCAGAAGAGAGAGGACCUUCGAUGAAACUCUAAUGGCAAGUGAAAGAGAAAACGAAUCCUCUAGAGCGGUCCAUGAGAGCAGGAUGAAAGCCAUCGGCGAACAACUCCGGGGGAGCAAGGUGAGCCCCCUGGCGGAGACCAGCAAACCAUUGAGAAAAUCUCUUCCUUCACUAUUGUUAAAAAAUAAUGAAGAAAAAGAUGAAUUUCAAGCGGAACUCAAAAAGGCUACGAGUAGAAUUAGAAAUCAAUUAGGCAGUAAAAUUAAUGAUAGUAAAAUUAAUGAAACCAAAACUAGUCAAGAGAAGAAAGAGCAGAAGAGCCCAACGAAAAUACCGAAUAAAGUCAAAAAGUCUAGUCUAACAAGUGCUGCCACCAAGCCAGACGCUAAGGUCGUCAGUAGGAGGCCUCUAGGUCGAGCUAACGAGGAUAAAACUAGACAGACGAAUAACAACAUUCACGCCAAGAUAUCAGACAACAAAUACAAAGCGAGCAGCAAGGAGAACAGCCGCCCGAUGCCGGACAGAGGGCAGGCCUCCGGGAAGGAGUCCACGCCUGAACAUUCACCCACCAGGAAAUUGGACUCCUUGAUUAACCCACCUCAAGAAAAGACGAAACAACAAGCUCCAUCGAAGCAGUUUUACUUCGGUAUGAUAGAGAGCAAACAGACCAACACACAUGAACACCUGAAAGACUUCCCAGGACUAGGGAGCCCCAUCAUCGAGGAGAUCUCGAACUUCCACCUGAUAGAACAAAAACUGCUCAAUUAUCAUGAGGAAGACGCGGAAUUUGAUAAGUUUAAUGCCAAGAUCAAAGAGGAGACUAAAGUUAAGAAUUUAUCAUCGGAAUCUGCACUAUCUUCCGAGGGCUCGGAGGGCUCAUGUUCAGAAGGUUCAUUGGGUAUUGCGCUUCGCCUGCGACCCACACUGCCCAAAAAGCAGCGCGCUGUGCCAAGAUUCUCUCCUGCCGCAGCCUGGAGGCAGCUAGCAUCAUUAGAUGAUCAUCUCGCCGCAGAAACUCAACCGCUAGCUGUAGAAACAAAAAUGUCGGGCGACAUAUCGGCUGAGUCAUCACCACGAUCAGACCAGUCGGCUGACAAAUCCGGAGACUCCGGUAUCUCAGGCGACCAUGCGCAUUCUGAUCACAGGAUAGACUCACCAUCUAGACAUCAUGCGCAAGACUCAAGUCCGGCAGCGUGGACACCACAACAAGACCUUGGUGACAGCAGUUCGGAUGGAGCAGGUGGUGGAGUUGCCCUACUAGGCGCUGGCCUUGCCACCUACAGUCCGGGACACCAGCCCUUCAGCCUGUCACUGCCCAGGGACCAGCAGGACCGAUUUAAAGCGAUGUCGUGCUUCUACGAUUGCUUCCAGGGCAAACAGUUACAGCAAGGCUUCAACAGUCUUCAGAAGCUUCGGAAGUCGGUGUCUGGUGCCUUAGGAGCGGCUCUAGGAUCUAGAAGGUUCGACUUGGAACAUGAACCGAUGUUACAAGAGCCGGAACAGAACUGGUUCCUUACGAAGUCUGCGCCAAAUUCGCUGACCAAUCCACUGAUGUUCCAACAACCUGCAAGAGCGAAGGGUUCUGAAGAGGAUGCUAUUAAAGAGGAGUCCUUACCAGCUUCUGAUAAGGAGGAGCUCGGCACAUGGCGUCCUGGUAAUUCGUACCUAUCAUGGGGUGGUCACGUGAUGUACCUUCCACCUGCACCUGCCGCAGAACAGCCGCUGUCCAUCCUCGGACCCAUCGAUAGACCUGUCAGGAGCAAAUCCAGCGGUUGCCUGGAGGCGGGCGCACGGGCUGCGCGUGCGGCGCUGUGCGCGGAGAUGCGUGAGCGCGAGCGGUCUGCGUCACCUGAGGUACAGCGCGCACUGCCAGCUAGAGUACUGCCUACCAACACUCGCUCCUCAAACGCGACAGGCCGUGGCAAGCGGUUCACGUUCCAGUCGACGGUGAGACAGCUGGAGAGACGGCGGCUGGCUGAGAAGCUGUCCAAGGAGGCUGACCUCAAGGAGCAACAGAGAAGGACCGAGCUGGAGGCCAUGAGGAGAGUUGAGGAAGAGUUCCAGAGGAAGCGUGCGAGAGAGAAGGCGAACAUUCGGCAACAGUUGCGACUAGUCAGCAGCGGCGCCAACAGCAUGCCCACACACACCACACAUCACACCAAGCCUCGUGAUUCCCCUGACGGGUCGUGUCGCGAGUCUCCGGCGCCGGAGCGCUCCCGUGACUCUCAGAGACACAGCAAUGCCUCCUCCGAGAUCAGCGGUCGCAGCAAGAGUUCCACACCUAUUCGCAGCGUGGAGCUGUCAGCGUGGCGUACAAGUGGUGGAGCACGCGUAUACCGCGACUGGUCGGCUGCGCACGCGCAUCCCGCCGCCUGCGCACGCAUGCCCAUCGCAUCCCAACAACUUUACAAUGAGGGCUCAGGCUCUGCGUUCAGCGGUAGCCCGGUGUCGGACAACUAUCGGCGCGAGUUUGCGCGCGGGCGCAGCUCCGGCUCCCCACUAACGCCCCGCGCGCCCCGCCUACUGCCCGCCGCAGACCGGUCCACCUCCGGCUCUGAUCUAUCCCUGCGACACCCCAUCAAGAUCAGGUGGUGAUGUGUGGGAGUAGCGCUAUUACCUAACACUAACCCUGCGCGCGCGCAUACAAGUGAGCCGACCAAGGAGGAACCCGAACAAGAUGAGCCCGCCAUCGUGCCAACCCUGCGACCGGCCGGACCUGCCCGCACCGCUCUACUCACUCACUGACACUCACUCACACUGAGUUACCGACACUCAAGAGUCGACCACACUCACUCACGUGCUGACACUCUACUUAGAAUCAUUGAUUACUAAACAGCUCUGGAAUUAUGUCCUUGAUUGAAAAUGGAAGCAGUGAGCCUGAUAAAAGUUGUAAAAUGUAAAAUUCAAGGACUCUUAAUUAAGAACUUAAGCAUAAAGUUGUAUAUGAAGACCUGUAAUCUAUGUAAACUUCUAUUUAUUUACCUUAAAUACUUAUUAGGAGUUUGUUACCUGAUAUGUUAUUGGUUUGCCGUUAAGUACUCCACGAUGGCCAGGACACGUGCCAAUCCAAAAACGUAACAUAAUUGUAAUUACGAAGAGUAAAUAUUAAGAUACUAAUAACAUGAAAGUAAUCCUUUUUAUAAAUUAGUUUUGGAAGUCAUUAAAGCCGCGAGGCGAGCAAAUGUCCGGUGUGCUGUGGGAGCCGGAAUGGGUGUGUUAGCAAUCUGUAUGUUUGUUCGUCACGCGAGCCGCCGCUGCUGAAAUUUGGGUCGGCGACCAUGUAUUGUGCUAUUUUUGUUAUUUACCCUUUAGUUCUCUUUCUUGACCUGAGGCCGGCGAGGUCACACUGUCUAGUGUAUAGUUCAGGCUGCUUAUUUAAACUUGUACACCUGCUCUUUAAUAAAUCCUUUCUUUCAGGCAAGCUCGAAUAAAGCAGCCCGUGUGAUUCAUACUGUGAAACAAGUAAUGUUCUUUCUAACAAUUCACUUUGUUUUAUUGUUAUUUAAUCUGUUAAUAAUUAUACUUUCUACUAUGAUUCUACGUCGUCAAUUCUCCCAAAGGUUCCAUUAACAAUUGUAAUGUUUAGUACUUACUUCCAAAUAUAAUUAUUUUAACGAACACAGUAUUGUGAAGUUAUUGACUCCGAAGAGUGCUUUAAUUCGCAUCUGUUAUGUACUUAAGCUAUGUAAAACUUUGUAUUGUAUUUAAUCAAGAAUAGAUUUACUUGUUAAACCUGUUUACACAAAACGAAAGGGGAUUUUACAAAGAAGAAAUGAUUGUUGGUCAUAUUAGAGAGUUUUUCUUUUUGUGUAAGCAGUAUAUAACUAGUUUUAAAACUUAAUGUUAAUGUCUUCCAAUGUAAGCUAAAUACUGAAGCUUUAAUAUAGACUUAACUCUAGACUUAUGUACUUAGUGGUGCUAUUUACUGUCAGAAUGUAGCGAGGAUGCUGCUAUACCAGCAUCAGGCGCUACACUGACAUAUAUACUGAUAGGUGCUAAAAUAUAUCGAAUUUUGUAUACUUAUCAACUUAAACUGGCAUAUUUAUUCCAAUUCUCUACCAAAAAAUGUUAUAUCACCCGUACGCAAGCAUUUUGUCAGCUAAUACCAGUCGUGAUGGGACUCCUGCCAUUUCCAUUGUGUCCCAUAAUUGAUACUUCCCCUCAAAGUAACCUUUGUGACAGGUCGUGGCUCGAUCAAUCAUUCGCUAUAUAGUGUUCCGGGUCGCUCGGACCGAGGUGCGGCGUGACCGGGUUAGGCGUGAAACCUUACUCAAACUCACUGAUCGAUUGUCGCAACACUACUUUAUGACGUGAAAAACAAUAAUGGGCGGUUUUUAUUAUAAUAAUGUUAUACUAUUAGGCUACCAACAACUAUGUGAAAUCAUUAUAGAGUGUUAAAGUCAGAGUUAAAUUAAUUUGAGGGAUUUAUUCGUAGACUGUAACCACUUUUUUUAUAAAGUAGUGUAUGGUGCUAUGAUGCGAGCGUGUUAAGUCUGCUGGUCAAUUACGCGUAUGGAUGAACAAUCUAUUUGCUCAAUAAUAAAAGAAGGAAAAUGCAUGAUGAAUAAAUUAGUUGAAAUACUUAUACUCCCAUAAAUAUAUAAGUUAAUUCAUUUAUAUUUAUCAUACAGCUCCACAUACGUAAUGAAAUAUAAAUUAGUAUGUUUAUUCAUUUUGUUAUCAUAAAGUUAAUAUAACAGUAAAAUAAACAAGAAGUAUUUUAUAUAUAAGAUUAAUUAAAAAUAAAAUAAAUCUAAUAUAAAACGGCUCAAUUGUAUAUAACUUUAUGAAUAAUCAUUAAUUAAUAUAUUAUUCAUAUUAAUUUUGUUACUUUUAUUGAAUAUGUACUCUGGAUUUAUUGGUAGCAUUUUAUAUAAUUAUAAAAGAAUAUAUAAAUCAGUUAUUGUUUUCGCAUUGUCGUGUUUAUGCUACAAUAUGGAAAAGCUAUGAUUAUAUGAAGUAUAUUAUAGAAUGUUACUGUAAAAUCCAUGUGGUUUAGACUUAAAACUUGUAAUAUAAGUAACAAUAUGAGAUAACGUCUGUAUAUAACACGUAAGGUAAAGUUCGGUGCAUGUAUAUAGUGUUUACAAACCGUUUAUAUUACGAGUAAAGAUUUGUAUAACAAUUUA
RNA transcript from Spodoptera frugiperda (fall armyworm), 6380 nucleotides. RefSeq lists it as uncharacterized. The record is from RefSeq and is a predicted model, not a curated record. NCBI's taxonomy places the organism in Eukaryota, Metazoa, Arthropoda, Insecta, Lepidoptera, Noctuidae. The transcript is spliced from 22 exons.